CUACCCAUUAAGUUUAAGCAUAUCAAUAAGCGGAGGAAAAG
Molecule: ribosomal RNA, 41 nt
Filed under: Lespedeza caraganae
Lineage: Eukaryota; Viridiplantae; Streptophyta; Magnoliopsida; Fabales; Fabaceae
Description: partial 26S ribosomal RNA
Source: RNAcentral